UUGUGAUUGUAAUACCUCACUCAGGA
This 26-nucleotide unclassified non-coding RNA is filed under the name Mus musculus (house mouse). RNAcentral's name for it is "oocyte_clustered_small_RNA1192". Lineage: Eukaryota; Metazoa; Chordata; Mammalia; Rodentia; Muridae. The record is from RNAcentral.